AGAAAAUGUAGUACAUCUACACAAUGGAAAACUAUUCAGCUAUUAAAAACAAGGACAUCAUGAAGUUUGCAGUUAAAUGGAUGGAUCUUGAGAAUAUCCUGAGUGAGAUAACCCAGACCCCAAAGGAUAUGCAUGAUUUUGAAUUGCGGCUUCUUCUGUCCCGGCGAAGGCCUAGGCGGUCAGAGAGAGCGACGGGGACCAUGUUCCGACACAAGCUCACAGCCCUGGAUUACCGCAACACUUCGGGCUUCAACUGCAAAGAUGAAACAGAAUUUAGAAACUGAAUUGUUUGGCUUGAAGACCAGAAAAUCAGACACUACGAGAUCGAAGAUAGAGGUAACUUGAGAAACAUCCCCGGUAGUGACUGGCCCAAGUUCUUUGAAAAGUAUCUCAGAGAUAUUAACUGUCCUUUCAAGACUCAGAAUCGGCAAGAAGCAAUUGACUGGCUUGUUGGUUUAGCUGUUAGACUUGAACAUGGAGAUAACACUGAAAACUACAAGGACUUAGUACCUGAUAACAGGAAAAAUACUGACAACGCAGCUAAAAAUGCAGAGCCACUGAUCAACUUGGACGUAAAUUAUCCUGACUUUAAGGCUGGUGUCACAGCUCUGGCUAACCUUCAGAUUCAGGGUCAGGGUGACUACUUGGUAAUGCUUAAGGCAAUUGGCAUUUUGGCUUAGGAACAUCUAACACAGGAUGCGGUUGCCAAAGCAAAUACAACAAAAGGCGGCUACCUGUUGCUUUAGACAAACAUAUUCUUGGCUCUGACAAAGGCGAUGCACUUCUUAAUGAAGCUGCUCAGAUCGUGCGGUUGCUGCACAUAGAAGAGCUCUGAGAGCUACAGACAAACAUUAAUGAAGCCACAGUAGCGGUUCAAGCCGUCAUUGCUGAUCCAAAGACAGACCACAGACAGGGGAAAGUAGGGAGAUGGGCACAUGUGGAUGUCGGCUUCUCUCCUGCGUAGUGAUGGGGACUGUUACAGUGGCAUGUGCUUGGGUCACACUUCAAGGGAGAAUCCCAGGAGAUCGGCCAUGUUCUAGAGAAUUACCACCACUGCUUUUUUUUUUUUCUU
RNAcentral lists this long non-coding RNA (1072 nucleotides) under Mus spicilegus (steppe mouse). Its description in RNAcentral is "lncRNA (ENSMSIG00000003193.1)". The record is from RNAcentral. Lineage: Eukaryota; Metazoa; Chordata; Mammalia; Rodentia; Muridae.